CAGUGCAGUCACCCAUAAAGUAGAAAGCACUACUAACAGCACUGGAGGGUGUAGUGUUUCCUACUUUAUGGAUGAGUGUACUGU
Non-coding RNA from Cricetulus griseus (Chinese hamster), 84 nucleotides. NCBI's taxonomy places the organism in Eukaryota, Metazoa, Chordata, Mammalia, Rodentia, Cricetidae. The record is from Rfam.